ACAGACGUUGAAACACUGGGUCCCAUCUGAUCACUGAAAUUAAGCAACAUUGAGCCUGGGCAGUAACUAGAUGUGUGGUCACUUGGGAAUACCAAGUACUGUAAG
This is a non-coding RNA of Acanthosepion pharaonis, 105 nucleotides long. NCBI's taxonomy places the organism in Eukaryota, Metazoa, Mollusca, Cephalopoda, Sepiida, Sepiidae. The record is from the annotation of a GenBank genome assembly.